Molecule: long non-coding RNA, 1773 nt
Filed under: Podarcis lilfordi (Lilford's wall lizard)
Lineage: Eukaryota; Metazoa; Chordata; Lepidosauria; Squamata; Lacertidae
Source: RNAcentral
CCUUUGGCUGGUCACAGAACUACAGACUUCUCUGCUUUCUUCAGAUGAUUGAGUUAACUUUUCUCCUUUUGCCUUCCUUUUAUUUCUUGUCAGUGCAUGUCCUGGAUUUCAGAUGUUUUAAAAUCCAGACAAAGUCAAACCUUUUCAAAUAUAGCGAAUUCCUGAUCCUGUUUCCACCUUUGCUGUAGGUUAACUCUUGGCACUUCUUAUUCCACUGGCUGUGCUUGUAGUUUAAAUCUUGUGGAUUGUUUUAUUCUAAUAUACUUUGGUGCAGUCUCUUUCGUGCCUUGUUCUUGUUACUCCAGUCUUUCAACUUUGAAAGCUACCACCGCCUUGAAAAACUGGCUCCAUUUCAACAUCCUCCUCUCAAAGGAAAUGAAAAACAUAUUACAAGGAUCUUUUAAUUCUGAGUCUGUUUACAAAGUGGCUCCUGCUUUUUGUUAAUCAGGGGGAGAGGGUGCAAGCAAGCUGAGAUACAAAAUGGAGUUCUGAUGAGGUAAUAUAUAGAAACAAAAGGGACCUUUGGCCUGUUUUAAAGCCCAGGCUAGGCAUGCUGUAUGAUAGUUUUACAUUAAACUAGGACUGUGACCUGGGUAGAAUCUACACUUAUCUACCGUGAGAUUGCUUUCGGCAUGGAUUCUCGUGGAGUAGAGUAUGUGGGAAGGGCUAUGGCAAACUGAAAUAGCCAUGUAAAAUUUGCAAGAAAGAUCUGAGAUCUGCUGUGUGAGCCCCCCCCCCAUUAAUAGAGACCAUGCCCAGGAUAAUUUCAUUUUGCUGCUUGAAAAAGCAAAAUGGACAAUGUUAAUGUGAUUACCUUUACAGUAUGUUUUAUUUAAUUUUACCACAAAACUUUGUUGAUUUAUAAAAGUAUUUAUAUUCCACCUUCCUGAAAAGAAAAUCUGGAAAGCGAUGUUGUCCAUUUCAGUUAUAUUUCACAGUGCUGUAAGAGGGAAGAUUAAGAGGGGAAAUGAAAGAGGCAUUAUCAGAUUUUAGCCACUGAGAAGUCUUCUCACCCUUUGCGUUGAUUGGAGCCAAUUAGAGUUAAAGGAGGUGAGUGAGCCACUGGAAAUUGGCCCCUAGAGUCACUCUGGAGGUGUGUAGGGAAAAACACUGAGGAAGAGUUCUAUAUACAGCACUCCAUCUAGAAACACCGAGAACACAAGGUAGUCAGUUUCAAGAGAAUGGUGUGCAAGUUCUGUUAUGUACUUCAAGGAAAACACAACUUAGUUAAAGGUAAAGGGACCCCUGACCAUUAGGUCUAGUUGUGGCCGACUCUGGGGUUGUGGCACUCACCUCGCUUUAUUGGCCGAGGAAGCCAGUGUACAGCUUCCGGGUCAUGUGGCCAACAUGACUAAGCCGCUUCUGGCGAACCAGAGCAACGCACGGAAAUGCCGUUUACCUUCCCGCCGGAGCGGUACCUACUUGCACUUUGACGUGCUUUCGAGCUGCUAGGUUGGCAGGAGCAAGGACCGAGCAACAGGAGCUCACCCCAUCGCGGGGAUUCGAACCGCCGACCUUCUGAUCGGCAAGCCCUAGGCUCUGUGGUUUAACCCACAGCGCUACCCGCAUCCCUCCCAAAACACAACUUACUUACAUCAUUCCAAAAGGAGACAUUGGAGCAUUCCUAAUCACUUGCCUAUGAAUGUGCACAGAAAAUAGUAGAUCUAGCUGAAAGGCAAAACAUGGAGAUUUUCACUGAUCAUUGCAAUGCAUCCUAGUUAUUAUCAUUGUGAAUCUAUAUGAUUAUUGUACAGUCUUAGAUUGCUGUAUAAU